Musa acuminata AAA Group (dessert banana) is the source of this 1636-nucleotide RNA transcript. RefSeq lists it as uncharacterized. NCBI's taxonomy places the organism in Eukaryota, Viridiplantae, Streptophyta, Magnoliopsida, Zingiberales, Musaceae. The record is from RefSeq and is a predicted model, not a curated record. The transcript has 4 exons.
CGACCUUCCCUCGCUCUCCUCUCCCCGCCUAUAUCGUAACCCUAACCCUACUAAGAACUCUUCUUCGAUCUCUUGUGGCAGUUUCUCCCGCCCGGCAUGGCUGCCGAGCGCCCGCGAGGAUCGACCCCGCGUCCGGUGAUCGGGAAGGCAGGGAGGUACACGGUGUUCAUCACCCCGCCGCCUGCCUCGAAGCCUUCCGAGGCCCCGAGAGCAGAGAGCGCCGGCCCUGCAAAGGCGUAUCCUUUGCUUGUCGAUGCUCUUCAUUCGCCGCUGCCGGUCCAGGUCCCGCCGAAGCAGUUCGAUAAGGUGGACGCGAAUUCGUCGGGAUCGGUGUUCGGGUUCUUCUGGGACGCCAUCGCGAGGGUCCAAGAUGCGCAUUCAAGCUUGGAUGAGCAUUUGGCAGACUGGUUUGGGUUGAACCAAUCGAAGUACCAGUGGGCAUUAAACGAUUACUAUGGGAACAAUGGAAAGGUACCUGUCAGGUUUGAGGAACCUUGAAAAGAGAUCAUCUCAAGCUGCGUGAUCGAGGAAGGAAACACACAGAGAAGGCAGAGAGGAUUGCAGCAGCCAUGCCUCCAUUGGACAAGUUCCUCUGCUCGUGGAAGUAUUUUCGCUCACGGUACCUGAAGCGGGGCUCACACUGAGGGAAGUCAUGUACUGGAAUGGAUUCGUAGGGGGCACGAUCUCCUCUUCGCCCUCGAGCAUCCUCACCACGCUGCUCAUCGAAGGUCUGGCUUCCGGCUGAUACUGCACGCACCACAAAGCCACCUGACACAUCCGCUCUGCUUUCUCCCUGUCCUUCUCCUCUAUACCGCAAGCUGACACUAUGUUCUCCAUUUCGCCAUGCUCAAACUUCUGCCACACCCACCGAGGGAACCACUCAAACUCCUGACUCUCAACUGAUUCCAGGAACUCCAGGUUCCUCCGCCUCCCCAGGAUCUCAAACAGAAGCAUCCCGAAGCUGUAGACGUCGCACUUAUGAGUCACGGGUAUCGGCAUCCACAGCUCCGGCGCGGCGUAGCCGGGAGUUCCCCUGCCGCCGGUGAGCGUCACGUAACUCCUCUCCCUGUCGCAGAACUUCGCCAGUCCAAAGUCGGCAACUUUGGGGUUGAAGUUGGUCGUCAGGAGGACGUUCGCCGGCUUGAUGUCGUAAUGCACUAUCUUCUGCUGGCAUUCCUCGUGCAGGUAUCGGAUCCCCUUGGCCGUGCCCAGCGCGAUCUCCUGCAGCUUCCCCCAUGGAAUGCGGUGGUUCUCGUCGAACAAGAACCGGUCGAGGGAUCCAUUCUCCAUGUACUCGUAGACCAGUGCUUUGAUCGACCUGUCGAAGCAGAAGCCGUACAGCUUCACCAGAUUGAUGUGGUUAGUUCUGCCUAUGGUGCCGACUUCCGCCAUGAACUGCUCCUCGGCUCUCUUGUUCAUGGCCGCCUUCAGAACCUUGACGGCCACCGGCACGCCGUUGGGGAACCGGCCUUUGUAGACUACUCCGAAGCCGCCGAAUCCCAGUUUCUGGUCAUAGUUCUGAGUGAAGCGCUCGAGAUCCUGUGCAGUGAACCUCAUGGGCUUGUCUCUCAUCAUGUCAUCGAGGAAUCUCUCGAUUGGUUCAGCUGCAGCACUCGAGUCGUUCGUUACGGCAAUA